UGGAAGUGAACAAGAUUUCUGCACAGAGAUUUUCCCUGGUCAAGAGUGCAACAUGAGCCGUGGAUAUGAACUUUACUGUCAGAUGUACAUUGAUUGGAAAGUGAACAAGAUAUCUGCACUGAGAAUGAAUGAAGUUGAAGAAAGUUGAAAGGCACCCCAGAAGAACCUGAAUUAUUUUAGCCCUAUCCUAGAUUCAUUGAAUAUUUUAGUGUGUGAUAACAUGUGUGAAAUGUGAUCAAUUAUGUGACAAUUUUCAAAACUUGGAUUUAU
Dendronephthya gigantea is the source of this 270-nucleotide long non-coding RNA. RefSeq lists it as uncharacterized. The transcript has 3 exons. The record is from RefSeq and is a predicted model, not a curated record. NCBI's taxonomy places the organism in Eukaryota, Metazoa, Cnidaria, Anthozoa, Malacalcyonacea, Nephtheidae.